GUGGGGAAUAUUGCACAAUGGGGGAAACCCUGAUGCAGCCAUGCCGCGUGUGUGAAGAAGGCCUUCGGGUUGUAAAGCACUUUCAGUAGGGAGGAAAGGGUGAGUCUUAAUACGGCUCAUCUGUGACGUUACCUACAGAAGAAGGACCGGCUAACUCCGUGCCAGCAGCCGCGGUAAUACGGAGGGUCCGAGCGUUAAUCGGAAUUACUGGGCGUAAAGCGUGCGCAGGCGGUUUGUUAAGCGAGAUGUGAAAGCCCUGGGCUCAACCUAGGAAUAGCAUUUCGAACUGGCGAACUAGAGUCUUGUAGAGGGGGGUAGAAUUCUAGGUGUAGCGGUGAAAUGCGUAGAGAUCUGGAGGAAUACCGGUGGCGAAGGCGGCCCCCUGGACAAAGACUGACGCUCAUGCACGAAAGCGUGGGGAGCAA
Molecule: ribosomal RNA, 425 nt
Filed under: uncultured Shewanella sp.
Lineage: Bacteria; Pseudomonadati; Pseudomonadota; Gammaproteobacteria; Alteromonadales; Shewanellaceae
Description: bacterial SSU rRNA
Rfam family: Bacterial small subunit ribosomal RNA
Source: RNAcentral